AAUACCGCUACGCCCAUUCCCCCUUACUAGACCGCCCUCACAGUAACGCCCCUUUGGCUGUUCAAGUUUCUGAACUCAACUCAGUGACAUGCUACCGAAUGACAACACAAGCGCCGCGCGGGACUUUUAAAAACGACUCACUGGAUGGAUUUCGCUGCAGCGAUCACUCAACUGUCGAUAUAAGAAGUUGGGGUUGAUGAUCCACAUGAUGGUGAUGGACCAGGACAGCUCUGGACCUCCUGACUGGCAGCUCCAUCCUCAACCUCUCUUCCUGCCCUUCACACAUGUGCAGGCAGCCAGUUUUCUGAAAGAUGGUUGAUGUCAGUACCAACAUGUUGUGAUGGAGGCUUCCACCUGAGCUGAACACAGAAACUUGCACACAGUGAUGGAAGCAGUCGUUCCUGUUCAGCAUCGAUAUGCCAGUAAUGGGUUUGAUGAGCCACAGCAUGGUGAUGGUCAAUCAGCAUCAGGACCAGGGCAGCUCACAAGGAGAACCUCCUGCCCUGCCUCGUCAUCCUCAACCUCCCAUCUCCCUGCUCUUCACACAUGUGCAGGCACGAAGCCAGUUUUCAGAGGGAGGGCUGAUGACACCAGCAGCUUUGGUUCUGAACCUGAUCAACCCAGCACCAACCACUGUGCCGCUCCUCCUCUGCCAACUGCACCACAUGGCUCCACCAUCUCAAAAAGGCACAGACACUACUCCACUUCCUGCGAAGGAUGAGAGAAGAGCCGACCGCCCCACAUCGGCACUCACCACCUUCUACAGGGGUGUCAUUGAGAGCAUCCUGACCAGCAGCCUCUCUGUCUGGCAUGGCAGCCGUCAAGCUGAAGACUAGAAGGCAGUACAGAGAGUGUGGUGAGCUCGGCAGAAAAGCUCAUAAGAUCACCCCGACCAGCCAUUCAGGAUCUGUACACUUCACACUGUUCCAAGAGGGCAAUGAACAUCAUAAAGACACAACUCAUCCAGCAUACAGACUGUCCUCCCUACUACCAUCAGGGAAGCGCUAGCCCGGCAUGCGGUGCCGCACAAGCACACUGGGAAACGGCUCUCCUCAACGUUCUGAAGAAAACCACAUGAAUAUUCAAAGGACACUGGAGAAUAUUCCAUGAACACUUCUUUCACCAUGCCACUUACACUUUACUCAUUGCACCUUAUAUACAGCAUCUUCACAUCACCUGUAUGAUCUCCUCCUGCCAUGUGUGUGUGUGUGUGUGUCCACUGUGUUUGUGUAUUUAUUGUCCAUCAGUAUGUUAUUCUUCUUAUUGCACACUGUUUGUGUCUCUGUGUGACUGUAUUUAUUGAAUGUAUCAGUCUGUAUUUCAUGUCAAUGCAUUACUUUUAGUUAUUAGUUAAACUGCACAUUGGAGACUGGUCAAACACAAUUUCAAACUUUGUGUUAACCCUCCAUAGAUUUUUGUCAAAAAAUGGAGUCUAAUCUACUGUACUAUUCAGGCUAUCAACAGACCACACAGUUGAGUGCUGUUUUAUGCACUCUGAAUAUGAGGAGAAGGAGGUGACCGUUCACACUUCAUAGUGUAAAAGUAAACAGAAAUAAAAUUUCACAUUUCA
Long non-coding RNA from Engraulis encrasicolus (European anchovy), 1570 nucleotides. RefSeq lists it as uncharacterized. The transcript has 5 exons. NCBI's taxonomy places the organism in Eukaryota, Metazoa, Chordata, Actinopteri, Clupeiformes, Engraulidae. The record is from RefSeq and is a predicted model, not a curated record.